GCCUAGGCUCACCUAGUAAGCCUGCCACCUGAAUACAGCACACCUCCUCAAUGCUUGUUAAAAAUGUCUCACUACCACUAAAAGAUGCUGGAGAUACUAUGUGGUAGAAUGCCUUACUGCUUACAUAUGUUCCAUUUUCCAACAGCUAAUCACCUUUCCAGACCCCGUCCUUACUGGUAGAAGGAGAAAAUUGAUAUCCUGAGCAGGAGGUGGCUAGAGGCUUUCUAGGAUUGGUAGGGAAGUGUUUAAGGAGAUCCUCAGGAAAUGGAGUUUGCCUGGGUCUGACUGUGAGCUAGGGUAAAUUCUGUGUUACUAACCAUUUUAACUAUUAACUGUUUUAUCCAUCCAAGAUAUCAGGCUCAAACUGUCCUCAUAGCACUCAUUUUUCAGUGAUGCAUUUAUAAAUUCGUUGGAAUAAGUGGAGUGAGAAUGUUUUUGCAAAUCUGAGCAAGCAGAAGGGGUUUAGGGGGCGAGCAAUAUGCCUAAAUGGUGACAGUCUUUUUUAAAUAAUUGAUUGCUGGGGGGGUAAAAAAGGCGAAGUUUAAACAUCUGAAAUGUGAAAUCUGUUGGAGUGAGAUACUUUGAAAAGACUUCAAAAUGAGCACCAGCUGUCGCCCUAUUAAAAAUCUGUGGCCAGAUUGUGGAAGGUCUGGCUGAGGGUUCGCAAUCUCACAGCACCAUUUGUCAACUGAAGAUGAGAAAAGAACUCGGAACAAUUGGAUUCAAGCCUCGUUCUGCCUCACUUUUAUAGCCUCUUUUUACAGUUUCUCACUGGGUCUGGAAAGAAUGCUAAAAGUCAGAUAAUGGAAAGACGUGGCAGUUUUCUGGAGCACUGGAGGGUUCCACAGGAGCUGCCCCCAGAUGCCUUCUGUAUUGCCUGGACCUGGUGCUUCCAGCUGUCAGCUCUGGAGCUGAUAUAGCAGCCCUGUGUUUGAGCAGCUGCAGCCCUGGGAAAGUUGUCUUACAGAGUGAAAGGACACCCAGGCUUCUGGCAGAACUGCCAGGUGGCCUCACAGGAGAUACCUACGUGGACAUAGGACAUCAGUUCUGGGAACAGCUGUUGGUGACUCCUGUUUUCCUGGAAGGAGCCCAACAAGCUUCAGAUGACGGCUGUGGAUGUGUUUCAGGUAGAGCUGCUUGGCAGGAGGUACAGUUAGACUAAAACUAGAUGCCAACCUCAUCAAAUAGAAUAAAAAGAAAAAAAUGAGUUUGAAAAAGAAAGAA
RNAcentral lists this long non-coding RNA (1224 nucleotides) under Anas platyrhynchos platyrhynchos (common mallard). RNAcentral describes it as "lncRNA (ENSAPLG00000029616.1)". Lineage: Eukaryota; Metazoa; Chordata; Aves; Anseriformes; Anatidae. The record is from RNAcentral.